CCCUUAGAUGUCCGGGGCCGCACGCGCGCUACACUGAAGGAAUCAGCGUGGCUUUCUCCCUGACCCGAAAGGGUUGGGAAACCCGUUGAAUCUCCUUCGUGAUAGGGAUUGGGGCUUGAAAUUGUUCCCCAUGAACGAGGCAUUCCCAGUAAGCGCGAGUCAUAAGCUCGCGUUGAUUACGUCCCUGCCCUUUGUACACACCGCCCGUCGCUACUACCGAUUGAACGGUUUAGUGAGGGCCUCGGAUUGGUCUCGGCCCGCUCUUUACCGGGCGGCGCCGUUGGUCGAGAAGACGCUCGAACUUGAUCGUUUAGAGGAAGUAAAAGUCGUAACA
RNAcentral lists this ribosomal RNA (334 nucleotides) under uncultured eukaryote. Its description in RNAcentral is "partial 18S ribosomal RNA". It matches the Rfam family "Eukaryotic small subunit ribosomal RNA", at positions 1470 to 1796 of the family's 1831-position model. The record is from RNAcentral.